GGGGGUCUCCCCUUAUUUUGGAGGGGGGGGCUCUCCCUAUUCCAUAUAUUUUGGGGGAGGGUCCCUAUUCCUAUUAUUGGGGGGGGUCUCCCCAUAUUUUGGGGGGGGUCCCUUUAUUUGAGGGGGUCCCUAUUCCCAUAUUGGGGGCCUCCCUAUAUUAUGGAGGGGUCCCCAAUUCCCAUAUUGGGGGGGGGUUCCUAAUCCUAUAUUGGCAGGGUCUCCCUGUAUUUGGGGGGGGUCCCCCCCUAUUAUAUUUAGGGAUCCCCCCCAUAUUGGUGGGGUCUCCCCCCAUAUUUGAGGUCUACCCCCAUAUUUCGGGUCCCCCCCUGUAUUUGGGGUCCCUGUCCCUAUAUUGGGGGUCCCCCCCUCUAUUUCGAGUCCCCCCCUAUAUUUGGGGUCCCCCCCUAUAUUUGGGGGGGCCCAUCCCCAUAUCCCCAUAUUUGGGGUCUCUCCCUCUAUUUGGGGUCCUUGUCCCCAUACUGGGAGCCCCCCCCUAUAUUUCGAGCCCCCCCCUAUAUUUGGGGUCCCCCCUCUAUUUGGGGUCCCUGUCCCCGUACUGGGGGGCUCCCCCUAUAUUUGGGGCCCCUCCCUACAUUUGGGGGGGGUCCCCAUCCCCAUAUCCCCAUAUUGGGGGUCCCUCCCUCUAUUUGGGGUCCCUGUCCCCAUACUGGGGGUCCCCCCCAUAUUUAGAGUCCCCCCCUAUAUUUGGGGGGGGGUCCCAGUCCCCAUAUCCCCAUAUUAGGAGUCCCCCCCUAUAUUUGGGGUUCCUCCCUAUAUAUUGGGGGGGGUUCCUGUCCCCAUAUGGGGUCCCCCCCUAUAUUUAGGGAUCCACCCUAUAUUUGUGAGGUCUCCCCCCAUAUUUGAGGUCUCCCCCCAUAUUUGGGGUCCCCCCCUGUAUUUGGGGUCCCUGUCCCUAUAUUGGGGGUCCCCCCCUAUAU
RNAcentral lists this long non-coding RNA (938 nucleotides) under Phasianus colchicus (ring-necked pheasant). RNAcentral describes it as "lncRNA (ENSPCLG00000015921.1)". Lineage: Eukaryota; Metazoa; Chordata; Aves; Galliformes; Phasianidae. The record is from RNAcentral.